This 655-nucleotide ribosomal RNA is filed under the name uncultured Glomus. RNAcentral describes it as "SSU rRNA". It matches the Rfam family "Eukaryotic small subunit ribosomal RNA", at positions 357 to 1016 of the family's 1831-position model. Lineage: Eukaryota; Fungi; Glomeromycota; Glomeromycetes; Glomerales; Glomeraceae. The record is from RNAcentral.
GGGUGACGGAGAAUUAGGGUUCGAUUCCGGAGAGGGAGCCUGAGAAACGGCUACCACAUCCAAGGAUGGCAGCAGGCGCGCAAAUUACCCAAUCCCGACACGGGGAGGUAGUGACAAUAAAUAACAAUACGGGGUUCUUUCGGAUCUCGUAAUUGGAAUGAGUACAAUUUAAAUCUCUUAACGAGGAACAAUUGGAGGGCAAGUCUGGUGCCAGCAGCCGCGGUAAUUCCAGCUCCAAUAGCGUAUAUUAAAGUUGUUGCAGUUAAAAAGCUCGUAGUUGAAUUUCGGGGUUAGUAGGUUGGUCAUGCCUCUGGUAUGUACUGGUCUCACUGAUUCCUCCUUCCUGAUGAACCGUAAUGCCAUUAAUUUGGUGUUUCGGGGAAUUUGGACUGUUACUUUGAAAAAAUUAGAGUGUUUAAAGCAAGCUAACGCUUGAAUACAUUAGCAUGGAAUAAUGAAAUAGGACGUUCGAUCCUAUUUUGUUGGUUUCUAGGAUUGACGUAAUGAUUAAUAGGGAUAGUUGGGGGCAUUAGUAUUCAAUUGUCAGAGGUGAAAUUCUUGGAUUUAUUGAAGACUGACUACUGCGAAAGCAUUUGCCAAGGAUGUUUUCAUUAAUCAAGAACGAAAGUUAGGGGAUCGAAGACGAUCAGAUACC